CACACGACGAAGUCAGAAACGCACCAGACGCCGGCCGCCCAUACCUCUCGCCGCUCAGGUGAUCGUGGCCUCGUGCAGUCGCCUGCUCCAUGCCGACAAUCGGCGACUUGCCGUUGCCCAUCUACACGACGACACCGCAACGGAAGCCGAUCACCAAUUCUGGAAUUCCCUCAUUCUAAUUGAUAUCAAGGUUAGAUUUUUAGAACAAUGUGUCAAUGUUUGCUUUUGCAACUUUGGAAUAAGAUAUCGACAUACUGAUGUAAGUCAUUUUCUUCGUAUUGUUAGUUUUCUUUCAGUUCACAAUGAACAUGAUAAUCUUGUGUAGAAUGAAGUGAUUGUGCUCAAGCUUUAGUUUA
Molecule: long non-coding RNA, 356 nt
Organism: Triticum aestivum (bread wheat)
Lineage: Eukaryota; Viridiplantae; Streptophyta; Magnoliopsida; Poales; Poaceae
Exons: 2
Source: RefSeq, a predicted model, not a curated record